ACAUGGUUUUAUUCCUUAUCGUUGUCUCCCAAAAUAUGUUUUACGGUGAGUGUUUGCAGAAUCACCGCGCCUCGGCAGGGUAAAUUCUGCUGGAGGUACCUUUGUCCUGAUUUCAAUCAGUGCAAUUCAGUCCAUGAAAAUAUUCACUCUCUGAAGAACAAGCUGGAACUGCCUAUCACUUUGUGGAAGACUCUUCAAAGAAGAAAGAAAUCUUGUGUUUCGUAGAGCUAAAAGAAAAAAAAAUAUUGCAUGGAUAGAAGCAUGUAUAUGAUUUUUUUCUCUUUUCUCUGUACAUAUUUACACUUUCAUUUUUUUUAUUGCAGUAGGUCUUACGGCCUACUGUCUUGCCCUCAAAAAAAUAUUUCUGCUUACUCAAUCCGUUUUUCACGUUA
RNAcentral lists this long non-coding RNA (392 nucleotides) under Brachypodium distachyon (stiff brome). RNAcentral's name for it is "long non-coding RNA (BDIS_LNC002939)". The record is from RNAcentral. Lineage: Eukaryota; Viridiplantae; Streptophyta; Magnoliopsida; Poales; Poaceae.